This is a long non-coding RNA of Heterocephalus glaber (naked mole-rat), 8226 nucleotides long. Lineage: Eukaryota; Metazoa; Chordata; Mammalia; Rodentia; Bathyergidae. The record is from Ensembl.
GUUUGUAGAAAAGGGAAACACAGGCAAGGCUGGCAGCCUAGGUAAUGCUGGUCCCAGUGCAGUCUGGUGGAUGGAUGUCUGGGGCAGGCUCUGUGAGGCCCUGGAAGAGCCAUCAUAGCUGGAGGGGACAACUCAGUUUCCGGGAUGAGAGGAGAGCUCCUUCCAGAGGGAAAGCAUGGUUUCUGUCAUGGAGUCACUGCUCCUGCACCCAUCACGGGGCAUCUGCGAGGCCCUGCUUUCCUGGAACCCGAGGAGACCUUGACACUCCGCGCAUCGAGGCGCCUCUGCUUUGGGGCUACCCGUCAGGCUGGCUGAGGGCAUUGUUCCCCCGCGUUAUUGAUGCCUGAUGCGAAGGAGUUGGAGAGGAAGCUCUCCAGUGCUGAAAUGAACGUGGGCAUGCAGACACCUCUAGGAGGCGCUACUUCAUGCUCCUUGGGUACACAGCCAACAGGACUGCUAGAGCACAGCACAAGCCCUUCACCCCCAGGACCCUGUCCCUGUGAAUGCCUCUCCAAGUUUCCUCUUUCCUGACUCUUGCUAUGAGCACAGGGCAUGGGAUCUGGCCUGGAACAGCCCAUGGGUUUGUAGGUUGCAUCAUUGGGUCUGAGGGGCAGAAGAGGAAAAGCUAUAGCUCCCUGUCCAUGGCAGUCACCUGCAGAGACGCUCUGCAGGGAUGCGGAAGGACAGCACAUCUGCCUUGGGUCCUGCAUCCUCUCCCCCGGAGGCAACCCUGCCCCACACUGACCUCUGAUGGCCCAGGAGCCCACGAGGACAACAUCAAAGAGAGGACGCACAUGCUCAAGAUUUCCUUGCUGUUUUUGGAUGACAAGUGUACUACUGGUUCCCCCAGGGAAACUGAGGCAGGAAGAGCAUCACACCAGGCUCUGUGUUGUACUCCAGGCAGGAAGGAGCUGAGCAGCUCUGGCUUGAGGAGCUGGUGCGAAGCAGGACGUGUAGAAGACUGGGUGUGCUCAGGAGUUGGGGGACCCAGGCAGCACCCGGAAAGACACCCAGCCCCCCACCUGUGCACUGGCAUGGUGGGAUCAGCUUCCAUGGCGUCACCCGCAGUGACUUCAGUGCCAACCUUCAGGCCCAAAUGCCUUCCUGUGUGCACCGAAGCACAAUUUACAAAUCUAUCCUCAAGACUCAAGGAGAAAGAAACUUCAUUAUUUUUAAGAAUGAGGAACUAAAGGCAAUUAAAAACGGGGGUGGGAGAGCUCGUCAAAUGUCAUUAGACUUCAUCAGAAGCAUUUCUCACCCUGACAAAAGAGAAAUAACAAAGAAUGUGCUCUCGUUAUUUUUCCAGAGGGAUGGUCUAUGUGCCGGUAGAGAAGGAAGUCAUAAAAGAUACCAGGGAAAUGCAGUAACUGGAUAUUUCAGGGCAUGGGAGUCGUAUUCUUUGGGGGCAGGGAAAACCGCAGCGGAACACUUUAGACGCCCUCCUUAAUUUUGAAAGAAAAGGAAAAUUAUUCGCGAUUUCAAUGGCAGCCCCAUCAUGGGCCUCCACCACUGCCUAGGCCAGGAAAUUAGUUGCCAUGGCAACUUCAGGUUGUAUCAUUAAGAAUUUUUAAAAUGUUGAGAGUCAGGAGGCAGGGCUUAAACACAGAAGGGAGAGGGAGAAGGAGGGAAGUGGAGUGGAGAAGGAAAGAAGUAAUCCAGGGCAAGUGGAGACUGCGGCCAAAAGAAGAAAUGUUUGCCCCACAAGUGUGUUUUCAUCUCUCCCCAGGUAACGGAAGGGAAGGGGAUCCCACCCUCACUCGGUUCUGCUUUGUUUCCUGUCCGAAUGUGAGCAGCUUUUCUCUUGUCCAUUAAAGAAGAAAACUUAGAAAGAUGAAGUAGACCCCAAGGAGCCGCCUUCAUUUGUUUUGUUUUGUCUUGUUUGGUCAAAGCAAGUCACAGAACCAGAUCCAUGGGAUCAAGAAACGGACUUCCUCCCUCGAGAUGGGCUGCAAAGUCAGACUCCAAGGAUAUGAGUUGGGCAACAACUGUGGCCAUUUUUGUAAACAAGACCCCGCCCCUAGAGCAGCUCCUCAACCAUUCUGCAAGAGCCCCCUGAGCUGGGGAUGGGGAGAUGGUAUCAUCGUGACACCUUCAAAGCCAAGGAACUGUAGGUGGUGACAGGACUCACCCAAAGGUGCACAGCCACUCGGAGAGCAGGAACCUUCCCAAAUGCCAUGAAUCAAAAGCAAAGGCAACAGGGUGCCCGGGGAGGGUGGACAGAGGAUAUCUUUCCAGGCGGGCAGUGAAGGAAAUUCUGGAAGGGACCCUCCCCAGAGCUGUAACUGCUGCCUGUGGCCAGGGUGGGCUUUCCGGCUGGCUCAGUGGUUUGGGCAGCAUCAGAAGGCAUUUCUCGUUUCACCAAUUUGUUUUUUCGACCACUGUCUUCCACCUUACAAACGUGUUCAUAGCUAACACUCUGGCUGCUGCUCCCCGGGGAACCAAGGACACCCUUAGAAUCAGUCCCUGCAGGUGCACUGGACAAUCCAACCAGGCUGGGUCAGGCUGCCAGAUACACCUCUCAUCUCUCCGGAUGGUGACUGACCACUGGUGGUCACCCCACCCCCGGGCAGUGGCUGGUGUCCCUUGAAGGCCACACCUGGCUGCCUGGCCCAGGUAGAUGAGAGUGUGGCACUCAGGCUUCUUCUCACUUUUUAUCAACUGACCUUGGCAGGACGUCUGACGCCAUACGAGGGGUCAGUCCGGGGUGGCAUGGUGGCCAACAGCCCCUGGAGGUGUGGUGACAACUACUGAGUUGCAGCACAACUACUGAGGGCGGAAGGGGGAGCUACCAGCACCUAGAGGUGGUGGAACCUCGUUCUCCCCAAGGAGGACUCAGCAGGACUCAGUGCAGCACCCAUCAGCUGACCCAGGACCAGGAAGCCCAGCUGGCAUCUGGAAAUGGUCUGGGCUCAUUCUGGGUCACCACAGUGAGGCGCAAACAACUGGCGUUUCGGAGGUGAGGCUUUGGCCAUGACGCAGUCCCACCUGAGGGAAAAUAGUCCGCGGAGAAGCUGGGAGAGCGGCUUCUCUUAUCUUCCCUCACCCGGGUCUCGGAGGAAAGGGGAUGAAGACUAGCGGGCUUGGACAGGACAGUGGUGCUUUCUAUUGCACGGCUGCAUGGUUUGCAAAGUUGCACAUGGAUCUUGUCAUUUAAUCUCCGAAAUAACCCAGCGCAACGGCACCGAGCUGAUUCUCCCCGCUCUGCAGACAAGGAAACUGAGCCUCGGGAACAUUCACGAUGCUCAGCCCGUCAGUUUGGAUCAUGCAGGAUGAGGGGAGGGGCAGGCAUGGAGGGGUGCGCUCCUCCAGGCAGCAAUGCUGGACUGGGCCGGGAAGAGGAGACAGGGAGGGAAAGGGGCCCGGUGGGGAGGGCCAGGGCACAGCGCUGCUCUAAGCCAAGGCCGCUGUCGGAGGAGCCUUGGGUGGGCAGAAGGGUCCCUCAUUAGACCCUCAAAUGCAGGGGCCGCAGGCUGUCCAGGGUCCCUGGGUGGUCACUCCAUGUCUACAUGUCACAUACCGAGGACGCGGGCAGGGUGAAGGCUCCAGGCUUGGGGGCCGUCUGCGUCACAUCAGAGGAGGAAGAAGGGACCCCUGGAGCGGGAGGGGUGAAGGCGGCAGCCCAGGCGGUCCCUGUGAGGGCAGCAUGGGAGCCCCAAGGGACUCAAAACCUACUGAAGGGCCCCUGCUCUGCUGGGCCCAUCUAGGAGCCUCCACCCAAGCUGGGCACACUGGUGACAGGAGCAGGUUGCUGGCCUGCGCACCAACCGUCGGCGUGGUGGAAACGUCCCACUAGCCACAGGUCUACCAAAUGCAGGUGCUGGUGGUCUUAUGUAAGGAAACAAAAGAAGGGCUUGGGGGCUGAGAGUGUCUGCUUCCAGGGAGAUGUUUCCUGGUGACUGUUGCUUCAAAGAGCUUCCCGCUGACUGCCGCGUCACUCGGGCACCCUGGCGUUGGAGAUGCUAUAACGGGGUCUCGGUGUCACAGGGACAGGAAGCCAGUGAUGCAGAACCUGAGUCACCCUGGAGCCAGAGAAGCAAUUGGGGGAAGCUUAAGGGACCUUCGUCAUCACCGAGCGUGUGACCUUCCCUGUGUGCGUUUUACAGGCAAGGAAACUGAGGCACAGAGAGGGUGAGGUACCUCCUCUAGGAAGGGGGUCUCAACCCUGCACUACUGACCUCUGGGACCACAGUAAGUCUUUGGGGGCGAAGGACAAGCACAGGGUCUGUGCUUCAUAGAACGAGUCCAGCACCCCAGGCCCUAGCCACAAGAUGCCAGCAAAGCCCCCCUUCUAGCCAGGCACCCCCUGUGCCCGAGCCACCCCCAGUGGAGAACACGGCUCCACUUCAAGCAACCGGUUCCUAGUGGAGCUGGACCUCCAGCCAGGCCACCCAUCCCUGAGCCAUGGCCUCUGGUCUCCCACGACAGCAAUCCAGAGAGGACAGGGCCAACCGCUCCCUCAGACACUGGGAAUCGGAGAAGAAAAAGGAGACAUAGCAGAGAGGCAGGUGGAGAGCUGAUAUUUGAUCAGUGCAUUCUGGAAAGAACUGCAAUUUUAUUUUAGUAGAUUGAUUCUUUUCCAUCACAUCUACAAUACUCAAAGCGACCAGAAAACAGAAAAUGAUGAGUCCAUCAUCUUCCUCCAAUGCAUCCCCAAAUCUCGCUCUGCGUGGAUUGGGCAGACAUACUUUUGCAGAGUAUUUCAGGGCUCAACUAGUCUUGCCUGCUGGGCUCUCCUGUGCUGGGAUUAACUGGCAAUGCCUUGGGUUUGCACUUCACAGAUAUCUAUCUCCCCAAGUAUGGCCUAGGAAGGCAGUUACCCCUUCCUUAGGCAGGGCCAAAGAAGCUCAGAGUGCGUGCAAGGCCAGGCAGCAGCAGAGCUCAGGUCACCAGUGGAAGUGGCUCCCCUCCAAGGGCCUGAGAGCCACAGAGACACUGCCCCAACCUAUCAUGGCUCGGGCUGGGCGGCCCCUCUUGCUUUUUCUCAUGAAGAUCCCCCUCCAGGGAGAUGCAGGGACAAAGGUACAGGCAGGGGCUGCACUGUUACCUGCUUUUGAAAUGUUCCUGCAGCUGGGGCAGUAGGAGGGGUCCUCACAAGCUCAAGAAGUAUCCUAGAAAAAGCACUGGACCUCUCUGAAGUCAAAGUUUUCGACUCAGAUUCCUGGUUGUAGGGUUUCAAGCAAGUCAUUUUCAAGUCUGCCCUGUAUGGUUGUGUGGGUAGCUGACUGCACAAAGCACAGAUUAGAGGCUGAAGUCUGGUCUGUAGCUUGCUCACUAAGCCAUGCUUGGAACAGGGCUGUGUCACCCCAGAGAAAAGGUCACAUUUUUCUAAUUCUCAUAACAAUACUAGAUGAGCCAGCAGCAGUUCUGAUAUCUCUUUUCUUUUCCUGCGGGGGGGGACACAUUUGGUACAUUUGGACCCCCAUUUUUUUAUGUGACCUCUGUGAACUAGGAGGACCUCCCGGAACCUGUCCUCAGGAAUUCUAGAUCUCUUUCCUUCUCAUCUGUUAUUAUUAUCUUUUCCCUUUUCUCUCUUAAAAAACAAAAGGGUUUGGGGAUGGAGCGGUGUGGAAUGAACUCAUCCCAGACAGGUCAGUUUCCCAGCUGGCCAGGAGGAAGGCUGGGCCCAAACUGGUUCGGAACUCAGAAAAGCCAGGUGUGGAGGUGAUGUCCGUAAUCCCAGCACUUGGGGGGCUGAGGCAGGAGGAUCACAUACAAUCACUGCAAUUUUGCAGCGCAAUUACUCUGACAUAAUGAGACCCUGCCUCAAAAAACAAAGGAAAAAAAGAGAGAAGUGCGCUAGACUAAUGAGGACAGCUCCAUGGCUGCUCUGGAGAUGCCGGGAGCAAGGACCACGCAACGGUGCUCAGAGACCAUGGCUUUCUCAGUGCAGGAGUCUGACCAGAGAGGCGGAUUGGCUGAGUUUGGGUCACGCCCAAUUCACACUUCCGGUAGGGGACUUUGAUUGACAGCUCCUUCCGCAAUGCAUACAAAGGCCACCAAAGUGUCAGUCAGAGGAGGUACAGACACGGGAAAUGGGAAGCAUCCAGCAUUUGCUCCGUUCCUUUCUUAUUUUAUUUUUUAUUGGAACAUGUAUGUGAUACCUAAUGAACCUGUUGAUCUUGGGAACUGAUACAUAGUGCAUCUUAAUCUUUUUCAAUUCCCCUUCCCCUCUCCUCCUUCCAUCCCUACAUCCCCUCUCCAUCUGCAAACGGUCUCCCUCCCUGUUUCCUAUCAUGUCUUAUAUUCCUCUUUAAAUUGUUUAAACUUUAGGUUUCUCAUAUAAGAGAAACCAUGUGAUAGUUAUCCUUCCUGUGUCUGAUUCCUGUGUCGGCAUUAUGGUCUUGAGAUGCAUCCAUUUUCCUGCAAAUGACUCAAAUUUAUCCCUCUUUAUGGCCAAGUAGUACUCCACUGUGUAUAUAUACACCGCAUUUUCUCUGUCCGUUGAUGGACAGAAUUUCUAAGAUGUAACUGUUUACUCUAUCCUUUAAAAGCCACAUCCGGACCAGAUUUCCAACUAACAGGAUCCCAUGUCGUUCUUUCCUCUGACUUCCAUUCCCAUUCAGGCCCUGGUUUUGGUUCAUCUCUGAAGGCCUCUGUGCCACCUAACAUUCUGACCACACACAGCCCACACGACAGUGGACCGUCCCUGCCCUCACUGGGAGCCACAGAGAAACUGUGUCUGCAGAAGUAAAGGAGACUUAGAGUCCCACAGACCCAAGCAGAGUCCAAGGUCAAAGGGUUGACAACAGAGAGACACCAGGAAUCUUGGCAACACCCCGGGCCAGACAGCUCUUCAUCUGGAAGGACUCCGGAGGGACCCUCGCUCAUCUCUUGGCCCAGCUCCCCUGCUGCAGGUUUGGAUCCCUAACUCCCACCUCCUCCUGGGCGGGGGGCAGCUCCCUGUUGGGAGUGAGACAUGUGGCCACCACUCAUCUGCACUGUGAUCGAACCCAGGUUCCUCAGGACUUCACCUCCUAGAGCCGUGGCUUCAUUAAUACAACCACUCCAAAAACACAAGGAGCCCUCGCUAAAAGGAUUCACCCCACCAGCUGGGGGGAACAGCAAGGCCCCUGAGGCAGGGAGGGAGAGGACAACAGAGAGUGUGGGGGAGCCUCUAUGAAAACGGGGCAAGUGUUGGCCAGGAAUCCUGGGAGGUUCCUCCACAGAAUGCCAGACACACAGACAAGAAGAGACCAUGAAUGCCCAGGGCAGCAGCUGCGGGGGAGAAGCGGGUUCCUGGGAGGUCACCCCAGAGCAGAAGCUGCAGAAUGGAACUGCAGCCCUGUGGCUCGCACCGCCUGUGGACGACCCAGUGGGCAGAUGCAAAACAUCACAAGGGCUGUCACCCACGUGGGGAGCCAUCUCCGGGCCCCAGGGACGGCCACCAAUCAGCAGGAUUCCGUGGGGACUUAAGUUCCCAAAUGGUUUUAUGUGACAGAGAGGGUUGGGGUGGGGGAGAAACCCCUCAAAGUCCCCCACAUCCUCACUGAAAAAACCAGAUCCAUGUGCUGUAACUUGUUCUAGGGUCGGGAAAGGAGCGGUUGUUGGUAUCCUGUAUGUAAUCAAUGAACUAUUUCUCAUCUCCCUCAAAAUCAGUCUCAGCUAUCUCCUGAUGUCCAUGUGUCUUUGUGUCUGUGUGUUUUUAUGAGGAGAACAGGGGACAAGGAUUCUCGUCUUCCUAACUUGGAACAAAGAUGCAAACAACUGUGGCCGUGUCAAUAUGCACGCUCGAUGACGUGCUUUACCCUCUUAUCAUCCUCUAAAUCGCAGGACAAAGAAUUUCUUCCAGAUGAAUUUUAGCUCUGCUACCAAGCCACACAACUUCUCCAGAUCUCCUUUUCCUGCUCUGUAAAACGAACGGCUUAUAGUCCACACCCAACUGCCUCAGAAUCCUAAUGCAAAAAAACUCUUUGAUAUCAACGAGGAAAAAAAAUCCCACAUGGACCACAGUAUUUCGUCACUUCUCCCAGUGGCACAACACACACAAAUCAAAUCAAAAUAUAAAUCAUUGCACCCUGUUACGGGUCUCAUACAUAGUUUCUUUUAAUAAAAUAUGCAAAUAUGUUGCAGUAAAUUGAUUUCUCAGUAUCAUUCUCUUAUCUCCAUAUUUAUUAUUCAUGAUUCUUCCACUCCUUACUGAAAGCAUAGAGAUGGAAGGCAAGUUUAGAAUGUAGCCUUUGCCUGCUUUCGCUUAUUUGCACGAUCUUCUACCCCUAGGAAUAAAAU